AGGUCGCUGGUGUAACGGUCAGCACAUCGGCAUUUUAAGCCGAUCGGUACAGGUUCGAAUCCUGUGCGGCCUACCA
This 76-nucleotide transfer RNA is filed under the name Gammaproteobacteria bacterium. RNAcentral describes it as "tRNA-Lys". It matches the Rfam family "tRNA". Rfam says of the family: Transfer RNA (tRNA) molecules are approximately 80 nucleotides in length. Their secondary structure includes four short double-helical elements and three loops (D, anti-codon, and T loops). Lineage: Bacteria; Pseudomonadati; Pseudomonadota; Gammaproteobacteria. The record is from RNAcentral.